ACUAUUACGUCGCUAUUGUUCGUUGGUUUAGGUACUUCAGUAAUGAUGAAUAGAAACGGUUAGGGGCAUUUGUAUUUGGUCGCUAGAGGUGAAAUUCUUGGAUUGA
Molecule: ribosomal RNA, 106 nt
Filed under: Rhizopus arrhizus
Lineage: Eukaryota; Fungi; Mucoromycota; Mucoromycetes; Mucorales; Rhizopodaceae
Description: Rhizopus oryzae partial small subunit ribosomal RNA
Source: RNAcentral